GAACGCACAUUGCACUCCUUUGGAGUAUGCCUGUUUGAGAAUCUAUAGUAUUUAUUUUUGGUUAUUUCGCAAGAGAUAAUCAAGAGAUUUGAGGUGUCUCUUUCGAGAGUACCUUUAAUGUUAUAGCCUCUUUUGUGGUAAAACAACUCUGCAGAACAGUAUUUGAAUGGAACUUUGGUUUCUUUAAUGCCUAAUAUGCAGACUUACCUAUUGAAAAGGGGGUCCAUAAACUUAAAGUAGUACCUCGGUGCUAAUUGAAACAUGGUCUCAAAUCAGGUAGGAAGACCCGCUGAACUUAAG
This 300-nucleotide unclassified non-coding RNA is filed under the name uncultured fungus. RNAcentral describes it as "sequence contains 5.8S rRNA gene". Lineage: Eukaryota; Fungi. The record is from RNAcentral.